This is a non-coding RNA of Cyanistes caeruleus (blue tit), 1514 nucleotides long. Lineage: Eukaryota; Metazoa; Chordata; Aves; Passeriformes; Paridae. The record is from RefSeq and is a predicted model, not a curated record.
GGUUGGAGGGAGGUGUCGGGACUGGGCUGCGGCUGGAAGCGAAAUUCCGGGAAGAGGAAAAUGCCUCCCAUAUCUCCAAACUACCUGAAGAACUUCAAUUUCCAGUGUAAACAAGGUGGGUAACACCAAGUGGCAAUGGCAAGAUUAAAAAUUAGAGGAGAUACUCUGAUUUAUGGAGAUACACAAUAUUUAUCCUCCAAACACUGCAGAAUGGUAAGAGAACGCUGGGCAGUGGGGAAUAAAGCUUCUGUUCCUGUUCCUGCUACUGUUCCUCCAUCAGUAAUCUGCAAUAUAUUUAGAAAAGCUCAUUAAACAUUUGGCCAAAUGUGCUUUCCCAAACAUUGCUGUCUGAAGAGAGCAGACCUUGGGUCACGUAGCUGGAGAGAAGGGAAUUUUUCCUUGUUUAUUUUUAGUUUGAUUUCCUAGGGAAGUAACCCAUCUGUGAUCUGUUUCCCUCUGGAAAGGUUUGAAACCAUUCAAGUUUGCAAAGCCUCAGAGAUAUGAAACAACUCCAGUUUUUGUGGGAGUAGCUGCUCAGGUAAAAAGAGACUCUGGAACAGGAAAAGGGGAAACCAUAGGAAUUGAGACUGUGAAUUUGUGCAUCCUUCCAAGCAGCAGCGAGGGUGGAAGGGGCAGCAGGAGCUGGAUUGCUCUGACGUGGUUUUCUCCCCCAAAUUAGCCAGCAAACUUCUGCUUGUACUGAGUCCCUCCAAAUCCAGAUUUCCUUUCUCUAUCCCAGGAUUAGGGUAAGGAAGAGGAAGCUUCAGUAGGAUACUUGGAAGAGUCUGUGCCCAGGCUACCCUUAAUGUAAGAUCCUAGUUAUGCAAGAGGAAAUAAAACACAUUAAUGCCAAUUACAGGGUGUUGGACUGGGAAAGGCUGAGAGCUGUGCUUGGGGUAGAAACAAACAACAGAAAUUAUAAACAUGAGCAGGAAUUAAUGGAAGCUCAGUUGGGAAGACUUUUGAGUUCUUCUCUGGGAAGAUUUGAUUUCUUGGACCCACCUUUUGAAAUGAAGAAAAAAUAAAUCUUCCAGGAGACAGUAAAGCAGAAGUGAAGCUGCCAUCAAAUACCACCGUGUGAAGAAGGCUCUGGAAAUGCUGGUACAGUUCUGUGGGUAUGUGAAGGAAAGAACAGGGAUGUGAGGGAUGUAGUGGAGGCUGCAGGAAUUUAAAUCUCCUGGUUUCUUAUCAAUCCAGCAGAAUUUGGGUACUGUGCAGAACAGCAGCGCGUUCUCUCUUGCCAGAGCUGUCCAGAGGAGAUCACAUCUGUGCACUUUAUGUCACACACCUGUAGCUCCUUACAUUGGAACAUUUGCCAAGAGAGGCAGAGAUUUGGCCCUUCCCGAGUGCUCCUCGUUCCCCGCAGCUGCCAGGAGGUGGCUCUCUGCAUUUGCAGUCCCUAUUUACUACUUUGUUUAUGGAAUUACGCUGGACACGCUUUCCGUGGAAAAUGUUUUCCCUGCGUCUGCCCUGAGGAAGUUUACGUCAGAAGAACAAGGAAGCCGUGGGCUCAG